This 478-nucleotide ribosomal RNA is filed under the name uncultured bacterium. RNAcentral describes it as "bacterial SSU rRNA". It matches the Rfam family "Bacterial small subunit ribosomal RNA", at positions 24 to 518 of the family's 1533-position model. The record is from RNAcentral.
UCAGGACGAACGCUGGCGGCGUGCCUAACACAUGCAAGUCGAGCGAGGAGAUUCCUUCGGGAUGAUCCUAGCGGCGGACGGGUGAGUAACACGUGGGCAACCUGCCUCAUAGAGAGGAAUAGCCUUCCGAAAGGGAGAUUAAUACCUCAUAACAUUGCAGUUUCGCAUGGAACAGCAAUUAAAGGAGCAAUCCGCUAUGAGAUGGGCCCGCGGCGCAUUAGCUAGUUGGUGAGGUAACGGCUCACCAAGGCGACGAUGCGUAGCCGACCUGAGAGGGUGAUCGGCCACAUUGGGACUGAGACACGGCCCAGACUCCUACGGGAGGCAGCAGUGGGGAAUAUUGCACAAUGGGGGAAACCCUGAUGCAGCCAACGCCGCGUGAGUGAUGACGGCCUUCGGGUUGUAAAGCUCUGUCUUCAGGGACGAUAAUGACGGUACCUGAGGAGGAAGCCACGGCUAACUACGUGCCAGCAGCUGC